CUUGUGUAUUUAGUCCGCGUCUGAGUUAGUUUCCCCAGGUCUGUCAUUGACGUCGUUUGCUGUGAAGCUCCCCUGUCUGCUUUGGUUCCUUUAAUAAAUCCUUUUUGACCGUGUUCACGGCUCACUUGCCUGCUUCCCGGAUCGCCCGGACACGCAACCUGACAGGUGUCACUAAUUACCAA
Non-coding RNA from Paramormyrops kingsleyae, 182 nucleotides. The record is from RefSeq and is a predicted model, not a curated record. NCBI's taxonomy places the organism in Eukaryota, Metazoa, Chordata, Actinopteri, Osteoglossiformes, Mormyridae.